UGCGGAGGGAUCAUUACACAACAAAAAUAUGAGGGUGUGGUUUGCUGGCAACAGCGUCCGCCCCAAGUAUUUUUCACCCAUGUCUUUUGCGCACUUUUUGUUUCCUGGGCGAGUUCGCUCGCCACCAGGACCCAACCAUAAACCUUUUUUUAUGCAGUUGCAAUCAGCGUCAGUAUAAUAAUUCAAUUUAUUAAAACUUUCAACAACGGAUCUCUUGGUUCUGGCAUCGAUGAAGAACGCAGCGAAAUGCGAUACGUAGUGUGAAUUGCAGAAUUCAGUGAAUCAUCGAAUCUUUGAACGCACAUUGCGCCCUUUGGUAUUCCAAAGGGCAUGCCUGUUCGAGCGUCAUUUGUACCCUCAAGCUUUGCUUGGUGUUGGGCGUCUUUUUGUCUCUCCCCUUGUUGGGGGAGACUCGCCUUAAAACGAUUGGCAGCCGACCUACUGGUUUUCGGAGCGCAGCACAAAUUUGCGCCUUCCAAUCCACGGGGCGGCAUCCAGCAAGCCUUUGUUUUCUAUAACAAAUCCACAUUUUGACCUCGGAUCAGGUAGGGAUACCCGCUGAACUUAAGCAUAUCAAUA
This 579-nucleotide ribosomal RNA is filed under the name Exserohilum turcicum. RNAcentral describes it as "eukaryotic LSU rRNA". The stretch from base 195 to 348 matches the Rfam family "5.8S ribosomal RNA". The record is from RNAcentral. Lineage: Eukaryota; Fungi; Ascomycota; Dothideomycetes; Pleosporales; Pleosporaceae.